Molecule: ribosomal RNA, 200 nt
Filed under: uncultured bacterium
Lineage: Bacteria
Description: partial 16S ribosomal RNA
Rfam family: Bacterial small subunit ribosomal RNA
Source: RNAcentral
AGAGUUUGAUCCUGGCUCAGAUUGAACGCUGGCGGCAUGCCUUACACAUGCAAGUCGGACGGCAGCGCGGGGGCAACCCUGGCGGCGAGUGGCGAACGGGUGAGUAAGACAUCGGAACGUGUCCUGGAGUGGGGGAUAGCCCGGCGAAAGCCGGAUUAAUACCGCAUACGAUCCGGGGAUGAAAGCGGGGGACCUUCGGG